Molecule: long non-coding RNA, 183 nt
Organism: Pseudopipra pipra
Lineage: Eukaryota; Metazoa; Chordata; Aves; Passeriformes; Pipridae
Exons: 2
Source: RefSeq, a predicted model, not a curated record
GAUAAAUGGAAAGCUGGCAGGCUGAGGAUUUCCUUGAUUCUUAGAUAAAAGAACUAAAAACACGAGGAGAUGAUGUAGAUCACAUCUAAGGAACUGGCUGCAAGCUGGAAUCUGGCCUUCUAUAUCCUUCUGAACUGCACAUGUAGCUUAAGGCUGAGUAUUAAACAGAAUGAUCAAACAGUA